UGGAGCGGUAGCGCAACUGGAUAGAGCAUCGGUCUUCUAAACCGAGGGUUGUGGGUUCGAUUCCCACCCGUUCCAU
Molecule: transfer RNA, 76 nt
Filed under: Limosilactobacillus oris
Lineage: Bacteria; Bacillati; Bacillota; Bacilli; Lactobacillales; Lactobacillaceae
Description: tRNA-Arg(tct)
Rfam family: tRNA
About the family: Transfer RNA (tRNA) molecules are approximately 80 nucleotides in length. Their secondary structure includes four short double-helical elements and three loops (D, anti-codon, and T loops). Further hydrogen bonds mediate the characteristic L-shaped molecular structure. tRNAs have two regions of fundamental functional importance: the anti-codon, which is responsible for specific mRNA codon recognition, and the 3' end, to which the tRNAs corresponding amino acid is attached (by aminoacyl-tRNA synthetases). tRNAs cope with the degeneracy of the genetic code in two manners: having more than one tRNA (with a specific anti-codon) for a particular amino acid; and 'wobble' base-pairing, i.e. permitting non-standard base-pairing at the 3rd anti-codon position.
Source: RNAcentral